GCCCGAUUAGCUCAGCUGGUUAAAGCGUCGUACUAAUAUCAUCUCACGGUGAUAUCAAGUCAUCCAAUGCGAAGGUCAACAGUUCAAUCCUGUUAUUGGGCA
This is a non-coding RNA of Podospora australis, 102 nucleotides long. NCBI's taxonomy places the organism in Eukaryota, Fungi, Ascomycota, Sordariomycetes, Sordariales, Podosporaceae. The record is from the annotation of a GenBank genome assembly.